Molecule: long non-coding RNA, 1753 nt
Organism: Oncorhynchus gorbuscha (pink salmon)
Lineage: Eukaryota; Metazoa; Chordata; Actinopteri; Salmoniformes; Salmonidae
Exons: 3
Source: RefSeq, a predicted model, not a curated record
CAACGCUCAGACGUCAUGCCCACGUGCGCCAGAAGAGGUCCAGUUGCAUCUGUAGAUGCGACAGAAAACAAAUGACCGCUUAUGUCGCUGUGUGAUUAACCGUGCAAAGCAGCUUGUUUGGAAGUCCUCAACACACACAGGGUCCUGCUAUGUUGAGGUGUGUCAGCUAUGACUGAUGUGGAGGCGACAUAUGAAGACUUCAUCGCUUCGCGGCGGACCGGCCGACGGAACGCCGUACACGAUAUCCCACAAUCCCCUGAUGCACAGGGACCCAGCGACCUGUCACAGGACCUGGCACAGCUCAACAUCAACAAGUCAGGUGAAAGAGAGGAUGCUGAAAAGAGCAAGACCCUGUCAGAGUCUUAAUCCACACCAGAAGAGGGAGGUAAAGAGUUGGGGAGCUAGCAGAUGAUCUAGACCUGGACCAAAACCCCUGCUCUUUUUCCAAGCUACUGAUCUGUGAACUGUAGACCUUCUACCAGUAUAGCUUCCCAACCUGCUCUCAGAACUCUGCCCUGAGCCAAUAACAUGAGUUGUUGGCGUUACCGAGGCAGUCACAGCACGCCGAGUCCUCUGUGCUGGUCCUUCUCCCAACAGUCUUAAAAAGCUUCCUUUCCUUGCCUCCUUUCCUUCUAAACAACAGAAGCUGAAAUUAAAACAAGCCCAUUCCGAUUCUGCUCUUUCUCCCUGAAGUUUAUAUAGUGAAACGAAAUUCAUAGGAUAAACAGAGUUGGAUUAAUAUGGUGUGGCUGAUGAAGAAAUAUGGUAGUAUCCUACCUAGUCCAUUGACCCUUCAGUGGCCCUUCCUAAAGGAAAGGAAAUGAGGAAAGGUUGCCAAUUAAGGUGAUUUGUACAUGACCGAAGAAGUUUUCAACAACGGAAGUGGAACAUCCCUAACCACCCUUGGGGAUUCACUAUGGUUACCAUCCUUAACACAGGACUGUCGCUCGGAACAAUGAACAGUGGUUGGACACGGACUCCUGCUCUUUCUUCUCUGCCCUGAUGCCAUUGGCCCGGGCCCCCUGUCAAUCAUGUGGGCAUCCUUACAGGAACAACAACCCCCUUUUACUCUCUAAAUGAAUUAACCUUCAUUUAACUAGGAGAUAUCCUGAGAUUGAGAAUCUAUUUUACCAGAGACCUGGCAAUUUAGGCUGUUGGAAACUAAAACAUUAUAUAUAUAUAUAUAUAUUGCCAUGAUAUGAUAAUUGGAGACACUGACGCUGAAACUUGGCCGUUAAUUUCACUGCACUGUUUUGCUCGUCUCCAACAGGUUGUUUCUUAUGUGGCCUGCUAACUGAUGUCCCCUCCACAGUGUGUGGCUGAUCAGCAUGUGUGUGCUGUCCCAUGGUCAUGUCCUGAUGUCUCACUCACUGCACCAGGUAUAAUGAGUGAUGUCUUUGUGUCUGUGUUCUAUCAAAUGAGUUAUUCAUCCAUUUUCAGUAAAGGAUGCUUAGAGGGAUAGUUCACCCCAAAAUCAAAGUUGUUCAGAUAUUCUCGAAUAAUGAAACCCGGCCUAAGUGCUACAUGGCACAGUCCAAUCGUAGUGGUACAGUCCAAUCCUAGUGGUACAGUCCAAUGCUGUUUAUAAUGAAAGCCUACUAGCUGUAUGAACUCUACAUUUAGUGUUUUCCAUAUGUAUUUAUUUACUUAUUAACUUAACAAGAGCACUGUGAGACUGACAUGCUGGCUGCAGGCCAUUUGUUGAUUUUGUUUGUUUUGGAUAUACAAAUAAAGACCAUAAUUGAGAAGUGAC